GGCGGACGGGUGAGUAAUGUCUGGGAAACUGCCUGAUGGAGGGGGGNGUAAACUACUGGAAACGGUAGCUAAUACCGCNUAACGUCGCAAGACCAAAGAGGGGGACCUUCGGGCCUCUUGCCAUCGGAUGUGCCCAGAUGGGAUUAGCUAGUAGGUGGGGUAACGGCUCACCUAGGCGACGAUCCCUAGCUGGUCUGAGAGGAUGACCAGCCACACUGGAACUGAGACACGGUCCAGACUCCUACGGGAGGCAGCAUG
RNAcentral lists this ribosomal RNA (258 nucleotides) under uncultured bacterium. Its description in RNAcentral is "partial 16S ribosomal RNA". It matches the Rfam family "Bacterial small subunit ribosomal RNA", at positions 97 to 353 of the family's 1533-position model. The record is from RNAcentral.